Molecule: ribosomal RNA, 497 nt
Filed under: uncultured bacterium
Lineage: Bacteria
Description: partial 16S ribosomal RNA
Rfam family: Bacterial small subunit ribosomal RNA
Source: RNAcentral
GAUGAACGCUGGCGGCGUGCCUAAUACAUGCAAGUCGAGCGAACGGACGAGAAGCUUGCUUCUCUGAUGUUAGCGGCGGACGGGUGAGUAACACGUGGAUAACCUACCUAUUAGACUGGGAUAACUUCGGGAGACCGUAGCUAAUACCGGAUAAUAUUUUGAACCGCAUGGAUCAAAAGUGAAAGACGGUCUUGCUGUCACUUAUAGAUGGAUCCGCGCUGCAUUAGCUAGUUGGUAAGGUAACGGCUUACCAAGGCAACGAUGCAUAGCCGACCUGAGAGGGUGAUCGGCCACACUGGAACUGAGACACGGUCCAGACUCCUACGGGAGGCAGCAGUAGGGAAUCUUCCGCAAUGGGCGAAAGCCUGACGGAGCAACGCCGCGUGAGUGAUGAAGGUCUUCGGAUCGUAAAACUCUGUUAUUAGGGAAGAACAUAUGUGUAAGUAACUGUGCACAUCUUGACGGUACCUAAUCAGAAAGCCACGGCUAACUACGUG